RNAcentral lists this non-coding RNA (28 nucleotides) under Homo sapiens (human). The record is from RNAcentral. Lineage: Eukaryota; Metazoa; Chordata; Mammalia; Primates; Hominidae.
UGAAAUUGGUAACGAGCCUCAGAAGGGA